RNAcentral lists this long non-coding RNA (540 nucleotides) under Coturnix japonica (Japanese quail). RNAcentral's name for it is "lncRNA (ENSCJPG00005006674.1)". The record is from RNAcentral. Lineage: Eukaryota; Metazoa; Chordata; Aves; Galliformes; Phasianidae.
AUGUCAUCGCUCUCCUCAACGCCACGUGAUUGGUUGGCUGUGAUGACGUCAUCACCUAUGACGUCAUCGUCACCGGGCUCAUCCUCCAAUGGGGGGGCUGUCACUGUGAUGGUGAUGCCACCAGCGUCACCAUCCAAUAUGGCCGCCAUGAUGGGGACGUCCUGGUCCAAUAUGGCCGCCGUGUUGGACACUUCCUGGUCCAAUAUGGCCGCCGUGUUGGGGACAUCUUUAUCUUCAUUGGCCGCCAUGAUGGGGACAUCUUGGUCCAAUAUGGCCGCCGUGUUGGACACUUCCUGGUCCAAUAUGGCCGCUGUGUUGGGGACAUCAUGGUCCAAUAUGGCCGCCAUUAUAGGGACAUCAUGGUCCAAUAUGGCCGCCAUGAUGGAGACAUCUUGGUCCGCCAUGUUGGAUGGGAUCUCCUUGUCCCCAAUGUCCCUUAAGGUCUUGAUGUCCCCAUUAUCCCCAUUACCCCCAUUGUCCCCAUUGUCCCCAUUGCCCCCAAUGUCCCCAUUGCCCCCAUUGUCCCCAUUACCCCCAUUG